This 623-nucleotide ribosomal RNA is filed under the name uncultured bacterium. RNAcentral's name for it is "bacterial SSU rRNA". It matches the Rfam family "Bacterial small subunit ribosomal RNA", at positions 338 to 956 of the family's 1533-position model. The record is from RNAcentral.
CCUACGGGAGGCAGCAGUAGGGAAUCUUCCACAAUGGGCGAAAGCCUGAUGGAGCAACGCCGCGUGAGUGAUGAAGGCCUUCGGGUUGUAAAACUCUGUCAUUCGGGACGAACCGGAGUCUGAGGAAAUGCAGACUCUCUGACGGUACCGGAGGAGGAAGCCCCGGCUAACUACGUGCCAGCAGCCGCGGUAAUACGUAGGGGGCAAGCGUUGUCCGGAUUCACUGGGCGUAAAGCGCGCGCAGGCGGUGAUGUAAGUCUGAGGUGAAAACCCGAAGCUCAACUUCGGGACUGCCUUGGAUACUGCGUCACUUGAGGAUAGGAGAGGCAAGGGGAAUUCCACGUGUAGCGGUGAAAUGCGUAGAGAUGUGGAGGAACACCUGUGGCGAAGGCGCCUUGCUGGCCUAUUUCUGACGCUGAGGCGCGAAAGCGUGGGGAGCAAACAGGAUUAGAUACCCUGGUAGUCCACGCUGUAAACGAUGAGUGCUAGGUGUAGGUGGGCUCAUACCCAUCUGUGCCGAAGCUAACGCAUUAAGCACUCCGCCUGGGGAGUACGGUCGCAAGACUGAAACUCAAAGGAUUGACGGCUUGGACGNGCGACGACGACGACGACGGAGGGAGGAG